AGUAAGAUGGCCGCCGAUGGUUUCCGGGCAACCGCCCGGAGCAACAGGGAACAUGGUGCGGCGCAACGCCCAGGCCAUGGCUGCCCCCGCAACUGUAAGCAGCGAGCGAAACCCGAAGCACCACUGGCCCCGGCCGGGAAGGUGGGUGAAGCAUUGACCUGCGAGCCAGGAGACCUGCCAUCCGUAACGGGCACGA
RNAcentral lists this non-coding RNA (196 nucleotides) under Pseudomonas sp. Lineage: Bacteria; Pseudomonadati; Pseudomonadota; Gammaproteobacteria; Pseudomonadales; Pseudomonadaceae. The record is from RNAcentral. RNAcentral also lists the same sequence under 1 other name.